CCAAAAAAAAUAUGGGAUGCCUCUUCCUAUAUUUUUCAUCAGUAAAUCAGUUUUCUAAUUGAUCUUCCAUAAAAAAAUCUCUUCAAAAUGUCGCACAUAUAAGGAUAAAAAAUAAGUUGGCGUGGGGAGGUGAAUUGGAUAAGAACAGAUUCUCCUGAUAAAAAAUAUUUUAAAAUUUAAUUUCAAAUUUUUUUUUAUCAAAAUCAAAUUAGAUUUGGAAGUGACAU
RNAcentral lists this long non-coding RNA (227 nucleotides) under Elaeis guineensis (African oil palm). RNAcentral's name for it is "long non-coding RNA (EGUI_LNC054956)". The record is from RNAcentral. Lineage: Eukaryota; Viridiplantae; Streptophyta; Magnoliopsida; Arecales; Arecaceae.